GACGAACGCUGGCGGCGUGCUUAACACAUGCAAGUCGAACGGAAAGGCCCUGCUUGCAGGGUACUCGAGUGGCGAACGGGUGAGUAACACGUGGGUGAUCUGCCCUGCACUUCGGGAUAAGCCUGGGAAACUGGGUCUAAUACCGGAUAGGAGCCAUUUUUAGUGUGAUGGUUGGAAAGUUUUUUCGGUGUAGGAUGAGCUCGCGGCCUAUCAGCUUGUUGGUGGGGUAAUGGCCUACCAAGGCGGCGACGGGUAGCCGGCCUGAGAGGGUGGACGGCCACAUUGGGACUGAGAUACGGCCCAGACUCCUACGGGAGGCAGCAGUGGGGAAUAUUGCGCAAUGGGCGCAAGCCUGAUGCGGCGACGCCGCGUGGGGGAUGACGGCCUUCGGGUUGUAAACUCCUUUCGCUAGGGACGAAGCUUUUUGUGACGAUACCUAGAUAAGAAGCACCGGCUAACUACGUG
RNAcentral lists this ribosomal RNA (465 nucleotides) under uncultured bacterium. RNAcentral describes it as "partial 16S ribosomal RNA". It matches the Rfam family "Bacterial small subunit ribosomal RNA", at positions 28 to 507 of the family's 1533-position model. The record is from RNAcentral.